This 460-nucleotide ribosomal RNA is filed under the name uncultured bacterium. RNAcentral describes it as "partial 16S ribosomal RNA". It matches the Rfam family "Bacterial small subunit ribosomal RNA", at positions 338 to 795 of the family's 1533-position model. The record is from RNAcentral.
CCUACGGGAGGCAGCCGUGAGGAAUAUUGGUCAAUGGACGAGAGUCUGAACCAGCCAAGUAGCGUGAAGGCUGACUGCCCUAUGGGUUGUAAACUUCUUUUAUAUGGGAAUAAAAUGUUCCACGUGUGGGAUUUUGUAUGUACCAUAUGAAUAAGGAUCGGCUAACUCCGUGCCAGCAGCCGCGGUACUACGGAGGCUCCGAGCGUUAUCCGGAUUGAUUGGGUUUAAAGGGAGCGUAGAUGGAUUGUUAAGUCAGUUGUGAAAGUUUGCGGCUUAACCGUGAAAUUGCAGUUGAAACUGGCAGUCUUGAGUACAGUAGAGGUGGGCAGAAUUCGUGGUGUAGCGGUGAAAUGCUUAGAGAUCACGAAGAACUCCGAUUGCGAAGGCAGUUCACUGGACUGCAACUGACACUGAGGCUCGAAAGUGUGGGUAUCAAACAGGAUUAGAUACCCUUGUAGUC